Molecule: ribosomal RNA, 305 nt
Filed under: uncultured bacterium
Lineage: Bacteria
Description: bacterial SSU rRNA
Rfam family: Bacterial small subunit ribosomal RNA
Source: RNAcentral
GCCUACGGGACGCAGCAGUGGGGGAUAUUGCACAAUGGGGGCAACCCUGAUGCAGCGACGCCGCGUGAGCGAUGGAGUACUUCGGUAUGUAAAGCUCUGUCAGCAGGGAAGAGAAUGACGGUACCUGACCAAGAAGCCCCGGCUAAAUACGUGCCAGCAGCCGCGGUAAUACGUAGGUGGCAAGCGUUGUCCGGAUUUACUGGGUGUAAAGGGCGUGCAGCCGGAGAGACAAGUCAGAUGUGAAAUCCACGGGCUCAACCCGUGAACUGCAUUUGAAACUGUUUCCCUUGAGUGUCGGAGAGGUA